Molecule: ribosomal RNA, 565 nt
Filed under: Aspergillus sp. 87
Lineage: Eukaryota; Fungi; Ascomycota; Eurotiomycetes; Eurotiales; Aspergillaceae
Description: eukaryotic LSU rRNA
Rfam family: 5.8S ribosomal RNA (bases 183-336)
Source: RNAcentral
GUAGAGCGAGGGCACUGGGUCCACCUCCCCCCGUGUCUAUCGUACCUUGUUGCUUCGGCGGGCCCGCCGUUUCGACGGCCGCCGGGGAGGCCUUGCGCCCCCGGGCCCGCGCCCGCCGAAGACCCCAACGUGAACGCUGUUCUGAAAGUAUGCAAUCUGAGUUGAUUAUCGUAAUCAGUUAAAACUUUCAACAGCGGAUCUCUUGGUUCCGGCAUCGAUGAAGAACGCAGCGAAAUGCGAUAAGUAAUGUGAAUUGCAGAAUUCAGUGAAUCAUCGAGUCUUUGAACGCACAUUGCGCCCCCUGGUAUUCCGGGGGGCAUGCCUGUCCGACCGUCAUUGCUGCCCUCAAGCACGGCUUGUGUGUUGGGCCCCCGUCCCCCUCUCCCGGGGGACGGGCCCGAAAGGCAGCGGCGGCACCGCGUCCGGUCCUCGAGCGUAUGGGGCUUUGUCACCUGCUCUGUAGGCCCGGCCGGCGCCAGCCGACACCCAACUUUAUUUUUCUAAGGUUGACCUCGGAUCAGGUAGGGAUACCCGCUGAACUUAAACAUAUCAAUAAGCGGAGGAA